This 200-nucleotide non-coding RNA is filed under the name Sinorhizobium sp. Lineage: Bacteria; Pseudomonadati; Pseudomonadota; Alphaproteobacteria; Hyphomicrobiales; Rhizobiaceae. The record is from RNAcentral.
UUUUCUGACGGCAUUCAAGGUGCCGCCCGGACGUCGUCAAGGUGGAUAAUUGGGAAGCCGGUCUGAGGCCGGCGCUGCCCCCGCAACGGUAGCGGAACGAAAACCUCGACGAUUGCCACUGGCUACGGCCGGGAAGGUGUCGAGGGCGUCCUGAAGGACGGUUCCGAAGCCCGGAAACCAGCCUUAAAUCCAAGACUCGG